GACGAACGCUGGCGGCGUGCUUAACACAUGCAAGUCGAACGGAAAGGCCCUGCUUUUGUGGGGUGCUCGAGUGGCGAACGGGUGAGUAACACGUGAGUAACCUGCCCUUGACUUUGGGAUAACUUCAGGAAACUGGGGCUAAUACCGGAUAGGAGCUCCUGCUGCAUGGUGGGGGUUGGAAAGUUUCGGCGGUUGGGGAUGGACUCGAGGCUUAUCAGCUUGUUGGUGGGGUAGUGGCUUACCAAGGCUUUGACGGGUAGCCGGCCUGAGAGGGUGACCGGCCACAUUGGGACUGAGAUACGGCCCAGACUCCUACGGGAGGCAGCAGUGGGGAAUAUUGCACAAUGGGAGGAAGCCUGAUGCAGCAACGCCGCGUGCGGGAUGACGGCCUUCGGGUUGUAAUCCGCUUUCGCCUGUGACGAAGCGUGAGUGACGGUAAUGGGUAAAGAAGCACCGGCUAACUACGUG
This 468-nucleotide ribosomal RNA is filed under the name uncultured bacterium. RNAcentral's name for it is "partial 16S ribosomal RNA". It matches the Rfam family "Bacterial small subunit ribosomal RNA", at positions 28 to 507 of the family's 1533-position model. The record is from RNAcentral.